AACGCACAUUGCGCCCGCCAGCACUCUGGCGGGCAUGCCUGUCCGAGCGUCAUUUCAACCCUCAGGCCCCGCCUGGCGUUGGAGCCCUGCGCAGCGCAGGCUCCCAAAGACAGCGGCGGGCGCGCCCCGGAACCGAGCGCAGUAAUGCUUUCUCGUUCUGGUCCGGCGCGCGCUCCGGCCGUAAAACCCCCAACUUUCUAAGUGGUUGACCUCGGAUCAGGUAGGAAUACCCGCUGAACUUAA
RNAcentral lists this unclassified non-coding RNA (243 nucleotides) under uncultured fungus. Its description in RNAcentral is "partial contains 5.8S ribosomal RNA, internal transcribed spacer 2, and large subunit ribosomal RNA". The record is from RNAcentral. Lineage: Eukaryota; Fungi.